GACGAACGCUGGCGGCGUGCUUAACACAUGCAAGUCGAACGGUGAAGCGAGUGCUUGCACUCGUGGAUCAGUGGCGAACGGGUGAGUAACACGUGAGUAACCUGCCCAUCACUCUGGGAUAAGCACUGGAAACGGUGUCUAAUACUGGAUACGACCAACCCUUGCAUGGGGUGUUGGUGGAAAGAUUUAUCGGUGAUGGAUGGACUCGCGGCCUAUCAGCUUGUUGGCGGGGUAAUGGCCCACCAAGGCGACGACGGGUAGCCGGCCUGAGAGGGUGACCGGCCACACUGGGACUGAGACACGGCCCAGACUCCUACGGGAGGCAGCAGUGGGGAAUAUUGCACAAUGGGCGGAAGCCUGAUGCAGCGACGCCGCGUGAGGGAUGACGGCCUUCGGGUUGUAAACCUCUUUCAGCAGGGAGGAAGCGAAAGUGACGGUACCUGCAGAAGAAGCACCGGCUAACUACGUG
RNAcentral lists this ribosomal RNA (469 nucleotides) under uncultured bacterium. RNAcentral describes it as "partial 16S ribosomal RNA". It matches the Rfam family "Bacterial small subunit ribosomal RNA", at positions 28 to 507 of the family's 1533-position model. The record is from RNAcentral.